This 61-nucleotide transfer RNA is filed under the name Cavia porcellus (domestic guinea pig). It matches the Rfam family "tRNA". Rfam says of the family: Transfer RNA (tRNA) molecules are approximately 80 nucleotides in length. Their secondary structure includes four short double-helical elements and three loops (D, anti-codon, and T loops). The record is from Rfam by way of RNAcentral. Lineage: Eukaryota; Metazoa; Chordata; Mammalia; Rodentia; Caviidae.
GGGGAUUUAGCUCAGCGGCAUGAGCGCCUGCCUUGCAAGCAGGCAGUCAGUUCAAUCCCUG